UCAAAUGAGAGCAGAAAAGCUGAGUAAGAAGAGAUCUACAUUUACUGUAAAAACAAGCCCCUUUAGCAAUCGAGUGACACUACAGCUAUCCAAUGUGGAGUGCUUCAGCUCCACCUAGUGGCACCUGCUGUACCUACAACAUCCCACAUUUCCUUUGUAAGAAAUUUAUUUGGCUGGGAGUGAGUUCAGACACAUGCAGUGCAUGAAUGUUAUGCAGAUGUCUCUUUUGGUAAACAGUUCUCCACUCUUACCACAGCAGCUUGGAUCCAAUGAUGAGGUCUUGGACUUCUCGUCUGCUCUUUGGCUCUGGAGCAUGUGACUCUGGUCUCUGGUGGCCCAGUUUGUCCCGGAGCAGCCCGAAGCCACAGCGGUCCGGCUCGCACUGCACAGCCAUGUCCGUCUCCUUCUCCAGGAUCUCCAGGCUCAGCUUCUUGCUGCUGCACAAACAGUCCUCCAGGCGCACCGCAAGGCUGGCAUGCUGGAGAGGCAAGAUGUCCUCAUGAGAUGGGACUGUCAUUAAGCUCUGGAAAAAUGAAGAGCCCACUGCACUGGACCACAUUGAAAACCUCCUGGUUAUUCC
Long non-coding RNA from Gambusia affinis (western mosquitofish), 580 nucleotides. RefSeq lists it as uncharacterized. The record is from RefSeq and is a predicted model, not a curated record. NCBI's taxonomy places the organism in Eukaryota, Metazoa, Chordata, Actinopteri, Cyprinodontiformes, Poeciliidae. The transcript is spliced from 3 exons.